GCGAACGGACGAGAAGCUUGCUUCUCUGAUGUUAGCGGCGGACGGGUGAGUAACACGUGGAUAACCUACCUAUAAGACUGGGAUAACUUCGGGAAACCGGAGCUAAUACCGGAUAAUAUUUCGAACCGCAUGGUUCAAAAGUGAAAGACGGUCUUGCUGUCACUUAUAGAUGGAUCCGCGCUGCAUUAGCUAGUUGGUAAGGUAACAGCUUACCAAGGCAACGAUGCAUAGCCGACCUGAGAGGGUGAUCGGCCACACUGGAACUGAGACACGGUCCAGACUCCUACGGGAGGCAGCAGUAGGGAAUCUUCCGCAAUGGGCGAAAGCCUGACGGAGCAACGCCGCGUGAGUGAUGAAGGUCUUCGGAUCGUAAAACUCUGUUAUUAGGGAAGAACACAUGUGUAAGUAACUGUGCGCAUCUUGACGGUACCUAAUCAGAAAGCCACGGCUAACUACGUGCCAGCAGCCGCGGUAAUACGUAGGUGGCAAGCGUUAUCCGGAAUUAUUGGGCGUAAAGCGCGCGUAGGCGGUUUUUUAAGUCUGAUGUGAAAGCCCACGGCUCAACCGUGGAGGGUCAUUGGAAACUGGAAAACUUGAGUGCAGAAGAGGAAAGUGGAAUUCCAUGUGUAGCGGUGAAAUGCGCAGAGAUAUGGAGGAACACCAGUGGCGAAGGCGACUUUCUGGUCUGUAACUGACGCUGAUGUGCGAAAGCGUGGGGAUCAAACAGG
RNAcentral lists this ribosomal RNA (728 nucleotides) under uncultured Staphylococcus sp. RNAcentral's name for it is "bacterial SSU rRNA". It matches the Rfam family "Bacterial small subunit ribosomal RNA", at positions 66 to 776 of the family's 1533-position model. The record is from RNAcentral. Lineage: Bacteria; Bacillati; Bacillota; Bacilli; Caryophanales; Staphylococcaceae.